Molecule: ribosomal RNA, 566 nt
Filed under: Alloxysta sp. All2
Lineage: Eukaryota; Metazoa; Arthropoda; Insecta; Hymenoptera; Figitidae
Description: partial 16S ribosomal RNA
Source: RNAcentral
UCACCUGUUUAUCAAAAACAUGUCUUUAAGAAUUUUUAAAUUUAAAGUCUAAUCUGCUCAAUGAAAAUUUUUAAAUAGCUGCAAUAUUUUUAAUUGUACAAAGGUAGCAUAAUCAUUUGUCUUUUAAUUAAAGAAUUGAAUGAAAGAUUAUAUAAAAUAUUAACUAUAUAAAUUUAAUAAAAAAUUUAAUUUUAUUUUUAAGUAAAAAAUCUUAAAUAUUAUUAUUAGACGAUAAGACCCUAUAGAACUUUAUAUUUAAAUAAUAUAUAAAAAUUUAAUUAUUAAAAAUUAUUAAUUUUAAAUAUUAUAUUGGGGGUAUAAAAAAAUUAAAAUAAUUUUUUUAUUUUAAAUAACAUUUAUAAGUGAUUAAUAAUAUAAAGAGUGUUUACAUAUAAAUUAAUAAAUUAAGUUACCUUAGGGAUAACAGCAUAAUUUUUUUAAAAAGUUCUUAUUGAUAAAAAAGAUUAUGACCUCGAUGUUGAAUUAAGAUAAAUUUUUAAAGAAGAAUUUUUAUUAUUAAGUCUGUUCGACUUUUAAAAUCUUACAUGAUCUGAGUUCAAAUCGAA